RNAcentral lists this long non-coding RNA (1103 nucleotides) under Homo sapiens (human). RNAcentral's name for it is "HSALNT0386346". Lineage: Eukaryota; Metazoa; Chordata; Mammalia; Primates; Hominidae. The record is from RNAcentral.
GGGGCAUGUGAGUCUGGUGGUUUCGCCCUAAGGGUCCUGGGUAUCUGGUGCUCGGCACUUUGCCAGUCUCAGCCACUGGCUCAGCCUUUCCCCUGGAGAUAUAGAGGCUAUGGGGGCAGUGAUCUGGAAGGCCAGCUGUGUAGAAGUCCCUGAGGGUCAAAGUCUAGGUCUGGCAGUGUUGGAGAAUAAAACCCUUGGCUGGCCAAACACUGGGAGGCUGCACCUGCUGCUCUGCAAAUAUGCCUGCCCCUGCCUGAGCAGGAGGCCUCAGCCAGCCCUCAGCAGGAACCCAGCCAGGGCCACCCACCCCAGCCAUGCUAAGCCUCUGCCAGAGUGAGAGAGGCCCGCGUGGGCCAGGGGUGGCACAAGAGUCACUCUCAGGGUGGGCCAAAGGGUAUCACAGAGACAGCCCGGCCCUGGAGCCAUGCAGACCAGGAGCCGGGUGCCACCUCCAACACCAACUCACAGUGACUUUGGGCAAGUCCUUUUUUUGUCUUGAACCUCAGUGGGCCUAGUCUUGGCAACUGUGCAGUCGAGUGUCCAGCCCAGGGUCUAGACCAGAGCCAGUGGCAGCAAACAGCCCUGUUAUCAAGAAGCAACAUAACAAGAAGAAAGGAGAAAAAAGGGCUGGCAACAGGACCCGGCCCUUGCCCUUGUGAAAACGAAGCCAGCUGAUACCCAAGGCCUGCCACAGAAUCAGCCCCCAUCCUGAGCCUGCAUCAGCCAAGAAGGAAAAAGGUUCCACAGCCAACUGCAACCAGUGCUUUGCCUACAGGAUAUUCCAUUUGGAGCCCCAGGCCCAUGUGGCCCUUCUGCCAGAGCCAGGGAGCCCACUGCAGCCCUGAGGGCACUCACAUGGACAUGUUCUGGAAGCCUGUGCCAUUCUCCCAGCUGUCGAAGACGGGGAUUGUGCAGGGUGAGAGAAUGGUCCUCCAUGGCCCAGGGACAUCACCCAGGCAGCACUACCCACUGGGUGCAUAGGUGCAUGCCGACAGGGAAACUGAGGCGAAGAAGGGGCAGGGAUCCCACAGCAGUCGCACCACAAGGCUGGUCUCCCGCCUCCUGGUCCCCACCCUCUGGAGAAGCACACCCAGUUCUAGUGG